This 499-nucleotide ribosomal RNA is filed under the name uncultured bacterium. RNAcentral's name for it is "partial 16S ribosomal RNA". It matches the Rfam family "Bacterial small subunit ribosomal RNA", at positions 28 to 507 of the family's 1533-position model. The record is from RNAcentral.
GACGAACGCUGGCGGCGUGCUUAACACGUGCAAGUCGAACGGGCCCGCUCUCUUUUUUGGGGGUGGGUUGAGUGGCGAACGGGUGAGUAUCACGUGAGUAACCUGCCCCCUGCUCCUGGAUAACUGCUUGAAAGGGCGGCUAAUACGGGGUGUGCCGGCUGGUCCGCAUGGGCCUGGUCGGGAUAGUUUCAUCUUCGGGUGUUUCGGUAGGGGAUGGGCUCGCGGCCUAUCAGCUUGUUGGUGGGGUGAUGGCCCACCAAGGCGGUGACGGGUAGCCGGCCUGAGAGGGUGGGCGGCCACACUGGGACUGAGACACGGCCCAGACUCCUGCGGGAGGCAGCAGUGGGGGGUAUUGCACAAUGGGCGGAAGCCUGAUGCAGCGACGUCGCGUGAGGGAUGGAGGCCUUCGGGUUGUGAACCUCUUUCUCCGGUGGUGAAGGCCCUGUCCGUUGCGGCGGGGUUGACGGUAGCCGGGUAUGAAGCGCCGGCUAACUACGUG